GGCAAUGGGCCGCACGAGGUGAGGCCCAAACAUCGCGAAGAUGGUGCAGGGGCGGGGUGGCGAGGACGUACCCGAGACUAGAGAGAUGCAAAGGGAGCUUCCGCCAGGGCGGAGAGAAAUGAUUACAAAUUUUCGGAGAUUGUCUCAGGAUGCAUUCGCGAAUACAUCUUUGGAAGUUGCGUCUUCUACGUGCCCCCUCGCCCCCUCCAGGUUGGCUUUAUUUACCCUUGGCUGCUGGAGCCUUCACACUUUCUGGAAAUAAAUGGAGUGUGGCCUAUUCUGACUACUUGCCAUAGGAUGUUUGCUGAAUAAAUGACCAUUUACUGGUGGGAAGGGUCAGAUAAUCUCUCUAUGAGCCAAACCAAGGAACCUGAGUUUAACAGUCUGGCGGAGAAGGAGCAUCCUUUGAGGCAACCGCAAUGAAAAGCAAGUCAAAGAUACAGUUCUAACAUGGAGUUGGAAUUGGUUCUUCUCUGCAACACAACUCUCAGGCAAAUAAAUAAUAAAUAGGAAGAAAUA
Molecule: long non-coding RNA, 519 nt
Organism: Bubalus bubalis (water buffalo)
Lineage: Eukaryota; Metazoa; Chordata; Mammalia; Artiodactyla; Bovidae
Exons: 3
Source: RefSeq, a predicted model, not a curated record